UGGGGAAUAUUGCACAAUGGGCGCAAGCCUGAUGCAGCGACGCCGCGUGAGGGAUGGAGGCCUUCGGGUUGUAAACCUCUUUCGCCAGUGAAGCAGGCCAUCUUCUUUGUGGGGUGGUUGACGGUAGCUGGAUAAGAAGCGCCGGCUAACUACGUGCCAGCAGCCGCGGUAAUACGUAGGGCGCGAGCGUUGUCCGGAAUUAUUGGGCGUAAAGAGCUCGUAGGCGGCUGGUCGCGUCUGUCGUGAAAUCCCCUGGCUUAACUGGGGGCGUGCGGUGGGUACGGGCCGGCUUGAGUGCGGUAGGGGAGACUGGAAUUCCUGGUGUAGCGGUGGAAUGCGCAGAUAUCAGGAGGAACACCGGUGGCGAAGGCGGGUCUCUGGGCCGUUACUGACGCUGAGGAGCGAAAGCGUGGGGAGAGAACAGG
Molecule: ribosomal RNA, 425 nt
Filed under: bacterium
Lineage: Bacteria
Description: partial 16S ribosomal RNA
Rfam family: Bacterial small subunit ribosomal RNA
Source: RNAcentral